Tupaia belangeri chinensis (Chinese tree shrew) is the source of this 300-nucleotide long non-coding RNA. RefSeq lists it as uncharacterized. The record is from RefSeq and is a predicted model, not a curated record. NCBI's taxonomy places the organism in Eukaryota, Metazoa, Chordata, Mammalia, Scandentia, Tupaiidae. The transcript is spliced from 3 exons.
CAGUGCCCCGGAAGAACAUCCUGAGACUCACUUUUCCUCGCUUCCUAGAAUGGCAUGAAUAUGGACCGGCCCCUUCUCUCCUGUCACGCGUACUGUUCUCCUUCAUUCUACCUUAACAAUUUGAAUAUCACUGUCCUCCAUAUCCAUACUGUCUUCAGAUGGAUGAAUGCAAGGGCCUGUGUGCACCGUUCUACAAUGUGGCUCAUCUGAAGAAAACUCGCAGCAGUCAAGUAAUUUACCAGCUCCAUCUCAGGGAAUUCCAGCACACCACUAUAACAGGAUAAAAGCAAUUGUCUCCCC